Molecule: non-coding RNA, 214 nt
Filed under: Dracunculus medinensis (Guinea worm)
Lineage: Eukaryota; Metazoa; Nematoda; Chromadorea; Rhabditida; Dracunculidae
Description: Eukaryotic large subunit ribosomal RNA
Rfam family: Eukaryotic large subunit ribosomal RNA
Source: Rfam by way of RNAcentral
GGACUCGGGGAAUCCGACUGUCUAAUUGAAAUAGAGGAGGCAGACGGUCCUUGUGGACGUUGAUUGUCUCUGAUUUGUGCCCAGUGCUCUGAAUGUAAAAGUGAAGAAAUUCAACGAAGCGCGAGUAAACGGCGGGAGUAACUAUGACUCUCUUAAGGUAGCCAAAUGCCUCGUCAUCUAACUAGUGACGCGCAUGAAUGCGAAAUAAAUUUUU